ACUCGAUAGUAUACACUCAGUUUCAGGUUCCACUGCUUUUUGCUAAAGUGCGCCACCAUGGGCGCAUUACGCAUCAUCUUCCUCGUCGUCUCUCUUCUUUCCGCCGGCUCCGUCGUCUCCGCCCACAACAUCACGGCUAUCUUGUCGCAGUUUCCUGAGUACAGCGAGUUCAACAGCUACCUCUCACAGACAAAGCUCAGCGACGAGAUCAACAGCCGUGAAACGAUCACCGUUCUGGUGUUGAACAAUGGCGUCGUUUCGUCACUUGCCGCGAAACAUCCACUCUCCGUCGUCAAAAGCGUCUUGAGCCUCCAUAUCCUUUUAGACUACUACGACAACAAGAAGCUUCACGCCAUUUCCGACGGCACCACGCUCUCCACCACCUUGUACCAAACCACCGGAAAUUCCCCAGGAAACGUCGGAUUUGUUAAUAUUACAGAUUUGAAAGGAGGUAAGGUUGGAUUCGGCUCCGCCGUGUCCGGUUCGAAGCUCGAUUCUUCGUACACCAAGUCUGUUAAACAGAUUCCGUAUAACAUUUCGGUUUUGGAGAUCAACGCGCCUAUAAUCGCACCGGGGAUUCUAACAGCGCCUGCUCCAUCGGCUGAUGUUAAUAUUACUGGUUUGUUGGAGAAAGCAGGUUGCAAGACGUUUGUGAAGCUGAUUACUGAUACCGGAGUGCUGAAGGUUUUCCAGACGGCGGCGGAGAAGGGAUUGACGGUGUUUGCUCCGAACGAUGAAGCGUUUAAGGCCGCCGGUGUACCGGAUCUGAGCAAGUUGUCGAAUGCUGAGCUUGUUGCACUGUUACAAUACCACGCUCUCGCUACUUACACUCCGAAAGGCUCGUUGAAAACAACCAAGGAUCCGAUUAGCACACUGGCGACGAACGGCGCCGGAAAGUACGAUCUGACCGUUGAGACCGCCGGAGAUUCCGUUACACUUGAUUCUGGAUUUUCCACUUCGCGUGUUGCUAGCACGGUUCUCGAUUCGACGCCUCUCUGUAUUUUCACCGUCGACAAUGUACUUCUCCCCACUGAAUUGUUUGGUAAAUCUCCAUCUCCAGCUCCAUCUCUUUCACCGGAAACUUCUCCGGCGUCGUCUCCUGCACCUGCUGCUCUAUCUCCGGAACCUGCAGCAGCACCUUCCCCAUUCCUUUCUCCUCCCGCUCCUCCGACUUCAUCUCCCACCGCCGGUCCUGCUCCGUCAGAUGGCCCCACCGCCGACUCCCAAAAUAGCAAUGCUAGCAACGCCGUUGACAGCGUCAAAGCUCCGUCGGUUGUCCAUGCCACAUUUACGCUGUUGGUCUUGAUUAUGUCAUACGUUAUGCUUUGAAUCUGAUUUUCGAUUGUUUGCGCUCUUUUUGUUUA
This 1364-nucleotide long non-coding RNA is filed under the name Lactuca sativa (garden lettuce). RNAcentral's name for it is "long non-coding RNA (LSAT_LNC003478)". Lineage: Eukaryota; Viridiplantae; Streptophyta; Magnoliopsida; Asterales; Asteraceae. The record is from RNAcentral.